This is a long non-coding RNA of Gossypium raimondii (Peruvian cotton), 315 nucleotides long. RefSeq lists it as uncharacterized. Lineage: Eukaryota; Viridiplantae; Streptophyta; Magnoliopsida; Malvales; Malvaceae. The transcript has 3 exons. The record is from RefSeq and is a predicted model, not a curated record.
CGAUUUUAAAGUUUAGAAAGCCAAAGUCAUGGCUUUUACAUUCGGCCAAGCUUAGAUUCUCAAUUAGGAUCAAGAUAAACAAAUACCGGAACUUGAUCGGGGGAAACAAAAGUUAGACGGGUAGACGAAAGUAUUCGAGCAAAUACGAGAUUCGGAAGCUAGCUCGAUUUCGGACGAGGUCGGAGAUUUGCUAUCACACUAUCAAAACGAUUUUUGAUACUUUUGAUCAAGCUAUGUGAUAUGGCUUGAGUUGGAAAUGUUUAGUUUAGAAUGGAAACAUUAUGUGUUAUGUUCAUUUUGGGUGCACUUUGAUAA